Molecule: transfer RNA, 358 nt
Filed under: uncultured Microcystis sp.
Lineage: Bacteria; Bacillati; Cyanobacteriota; Cyanophyceae; Chroococcales; Microcystaceae
Description: partial 16S-23S ribosomal RNA intergenic spacer
Rfam family: tRNA (bases 133-206)
Source: RNAcentral
AAGGGAGACCUAAUUCCGGUAGGAGACGAAAAAAAAGUAGUCCCAACCAAGAAUCAAUCCCAAAAGGUCGGAACGAGGUAUGAGGCUUUCAAACUAGGUUCUGGGUUCAUAUAAGACCUGAAUCAGGAACAAGGGCUAUUAGCUCAGGUGGUUAGAGCGCACCCCUGAUAAGGGUGAGGUCCCUGGUUCGAGUCCAGGAUGGCCCACCUGCACAGGUGGCAAAAACAAGAGAAGCUCCGAAUCAGCACCUUAUCUUAUAUACAUAUAUAAGAGAGAAUGCUGGCUCUGAGUAAAGAGUCCAGAGGAACCUUGAAAACUGCAUAGAGCUAGGUGAAAAAGCCAAAAAAGAAGACCGCAA